This 253-nucleotide ribosomal RNA is filed under the name uncultured bacterium. Its description in RNAcentral is "partial 16S ribosomal RNA". It matches the Rfam family "Bacterial small subunit ribosomal RNA", at positions 524 to 776 of the family's 1533-position model. The record is from RNAcentral.
GACGUAGGGGGCCAGCGUUGCUCGGAAUUACUGGGCGUAAAGGGUUCGUAGGCGGUGUGGCAAGUCGGGAGUGAAAUCUCCAGGCUCAACUUGGAGGCUGCUUCCGAAACUGCCGCGCUAGAGUGCGAGAGAGGCCAGUGGAAUUGCAGGUGUAGCGGUGAAAUGCGUAGAUAUCUGCAGGAACACCCGUGGCGAAGGCGGCUGGCUGGAUCGCAACUGACGCUGAGGAACGAAAGCUAGGGGAGCAAACAGG